UACGUAGGGUGCAAGCGUUGUCCGGAAUUAUUGGGCCUAAAGCAUCCGUAGCCGGUCAUGCAAGUCCUCCGUUAAAUCCAGCCGCUCAACGGUUGGGCUGCGGAGGAUACUACGUGGCUAGGAGGCGGGAGAGGCAAGCGGUACUCAGUGGGUAGGGGUAAAAUCCUUUGAUCCAUUGAAGACCACCAGUGGCGAAGGCGGCUUGCCAGAACGCGCUCGACGGUGAGGGAUGAAAGCUGGGGGAGCAAACCGG
Molecule: ribosomal RNA, 253 nt
Filed under: uncultured bacterium
Lineage: Bacteria
Description: partial 16S ribosomal RNA
Rfam family: Bacterial small subunit ribosomal RNA
Source: RNAcentral